This 357-nucleotide ribosomal RNA is filed under the name Salmonella enterica subsp. enterica serovar Livingstone. RNAcentral describes it as "bacterial SSU rRNA". It matches the Rfam family "Bacterial small subunit ribosomal RNA", at positions 1153 to 1509 of the family's 1533-position model. Lineage: Bacteria; Pseudomonadati; Pseudomonadota; Gammaproteobacteria; Enterobacterales; Enterobacteriaceae. The record is from RNAcentral.
CAGUGAUAAACUGGAGGAAGGUGGGGAUGACGUCAAGUCAUCAUGGCCCUUACGACCAGGGCUACACACGUGCUACAAUGGCGCAUACAAAGAGAAGCGACCUCGCGAGAGCAAGCGGACCUCAUAAAGUGCGUCGUAGUCCGGAUUGGAGUCUGCAACUCGACUCCAUGAAGUCGGAAUCGCUAGUAAUCGUGGAUCAGAAUGCCACGGUGAAUACGUUCCCGGGCCUUGUACACACCGCCCGUCACACCAUGGGAGUGGGUUGCAAAAGAAGUAGGUAGCUUAACCUUCGGGAGGGCGCUUACCACUUUGUGAUUCAUGACUGGGGUGAAGUCGUAACAAGGUAACCGUAGGGGA